This 517-nucleotide ribosomal RNA is filed under the name uncultured Pseudomonadota bacterium. RNAcentral describes it as "bacterial SSU rRNA". It matches the Rfam family "Bacterial small subunit ribosomal RNA", at positions 355 to 890 of the family's 1533-position model. The record is from RNAcentral. Lineage: Bacteria; Pseudomonadati; Pseudomonadota.
UGGGGAAUUUUGGACAAUGGGGGCAACCCUGAUCCAGCCAUGCCGCGUGCGGGAAGAAGGCCUUAGGGUUGUAAAGCUCUUUCGCCCGCGACGAUGAUGACGGUAGCGGGAGAAGAAGCCCCGGCUAAUUCCGUGCCAGCAGCCGCGGUAAUACGGAAGGGGCUAGCGUUGUUCGGAAUCACUGGGCGUAAAGCGCGCGUAGGCGGCUUGGCAAGUGCGGCGUGAAAGUCCUGGGCUCAACCUGGGGACGGCGCUGCGGACUGCUUGGCUGGAGUCCGGAAGAGGGUGGUGGAAUUCCGAGUGUAGAGGUGAAAUUCGUAGAUAUUCGGAGGAACACCGGUGGCGAAGGCGGCCAUCUGGUCCGGCACUGACGCUGAAGCGCGAAAGCGUGGGGAGCAAACAGGAUUAGAUACCCUGGUAGUCCACGCCGUAAACGAUGGGUGCUAGAUGUCGGGGGGCUUGCCCUUCGGUGUCGGAGCUAACGCGUUAAGCACCCCGCCUGGGGAGUACGGCCGCG